RNAcentral lists this ribosomal RNA (301 nucleotides) under uncultured bacterium. RNAcentral's name for it is "partial 16S ribosomal RNA". It matches the Rfam family "Bacterial small subunit ribosomal RNA", at positions 509 to 807 of the family's 1533-position model. The record is from RNAcentral.
CAGUCGCCGCGGUAAUACGAGGGGUGCAAGCGUUAUUCGGAUUGAUUGGGUGUAAAGGGUGUGCAGACGGCUUAUUAAGUCACUUGUUAAAUUCUUCGGCCUAACUGAAGGUCUGCAAGUGAUACUGAUGAGCUAGAGGGUGGAAGAGAGAAGUGGAAUUCUCGGAGUAGCGGUAAAAUGCGUAGACCUCGAGAGGAACACCAAUGGCGAAGGCAGCUUCUUGGUCCAUUCCUGACGUUCAUACACGAAAGCGUGGGGAGCAAACAGGAUUAGAUACCCCCGUAGUCCCUGUCUCUUAUAC